AGCAGCCGCGGUAAUUCCAGCUCUAAUAGCGUAUAUUAAAGUUGUUGCAGUUAAAAAGCUCGUAGUUGAAUUUCGGGGUUAGUAGGUUGGUCAUGCCUCUGGUAUGUACUGGUCUCACUGAUUCCUCCUUCCUGAUGAGCCGUAAUGCCAUUAAUUUGGUGUUGCGGGGAAUUUGGACUGUUACUUUGAAAAAAUUGAGUGUUUAAAGCAAGCUAACGCUUGAAUACAUUAGCAUGGAAUAAUGAAAUAGGACGUUCGAUCCUAUUUUGUUGGUUUCUAGGAUUGACGUAAUGAUUAAUAGGGAUAGUUGGGGGCAUUAGUAUUCAAUUGUCAGAGGUGAAAUUCUUGGAUUUAUUGAAGACUAACUACUGCGAAAGCAUUUGCCAAGGAUGUUUUCAUUAAUCAAGAACGAAAGUUAGGGGAUCGAAGACGAUCAGAUACCGUCGUAGUCUUAACCAUAAACUAUGCCGACUAGGGAUCGGAUGAUGUUAAUUU
Molecule: ribosomal RNA, 495 nt
Filed under: uncultured Glomus
Lineage: Eukaryota; Fungi; Glomeromycota; Glomeromycetes; Glomerales; Glomeraceae
Description: SSU rRNA
Rfam family: Eukaryotic small subunit ribosomal RNA
Source: RNAcentral